UAGGGAAUCUUCGGCAAUGGACGGAAGUCUGACCGAGCAACGCCGCGUGAGUGAAGAAGGUUUUCGGAUCGUAAAGCUCUGUUGUAAGAGAAGAACGAGUGUGAGAGUGGAAAGUUCACACUGUGACGGUAUCUUACCAGAAAGGGACGGCUAACUACGUGCCAGCAGCCGCGGUAAUACGUAGGUCCCGAGCGUUGUCCGGAUUUAUUGGGCGUAAAGCGAGCGCAGGCGGUUAGAUAAGUCUGAAGUUAAAGGCUGUGGCUUAACCAUAGUACGCUUUGGAAACUGUUUAACUUGAGUGCAAGAGGGGAGAGUGGAAUUCCAUGUGUAGCGGUGAAAUGCGUAGAUAUAUGGAGGAACACCGGUGGCGAAAGCGGCUCUCUGGCUUGUAACUGACGCUGAGGCUCGAAAGCGUGGGGAGCAAACAGGAUUAGAUACCCUGGUAGUCCACGCCGUANACGAUGAGUGCUAGGUGUUAGACCCUUUCCGGGGUUUAGUGCCGCAGCUAACGCAUUAAGCACUCCGCCUGGGGAGUACGACCGCAAGGUUG
Molecule: ribosomal RNA, 550 nt
Filed under: uncultured bacterium
Lineage: Bacteria
Description: bacterial SSU rRNA
Rfam family: Bacterial small subunit ribosomal RNA
Source: RNAcentral